CAAUAGCAUAUAUUAACGUUGUUGCAGUUGAAAAGCUCGUAGUUGAACUUUUGGUAGGAGCGACCUGGCCUUGGGCGCAUGCCCUUGUUUGCCGGGUGUCGUAUCUGGCCAUCCUUUUCCGCUUCGGCGGGAAUCCUUUACUGUGAGUAAACUGGAGUGCUCAAAACAAGACGUUUGUUUGGUACAUUAAAGCAUGGAAUAAUAAGAUAGGACCUGGUUACUAUUUUGUUGGUUUGCAUAGCUAGGUAAUGAUUAACAGGGACAGUUGGGGGUAUUCGUAUUUAAUUGUCAGAGGUGAAAUUCUUGGAUUUAUGAAAGACGAACGACUGCGAAAGCAUUUACCAAGGAUGUUUUCAUUAA
RNAcentral lists this ribosomal RNA (360 nucleotides) under uncultured eukaryote. Its description in RNAcentral is "partial 18S ribosomal RNA". It matches the Rfam family "Eukaryotic small subunit ribosomal RNA", at positions 592 to 976 of the family's 1831-position model. The record is from RNAcentral.